RNAcentral lists this ribosomal RNA (125 nucleotides) under Anolis carolinensis (green anole). Lineage: Eukaryota; Metazoa; Chordata; Lepidosauria; Squamata; Anolidae. The record is from RNAcentral.
CCUUGCAGUGAUAUCCUCAAGGAUCUGAAAGCACCCAAUCCUAUCUGACCCUGGAAGGGAAGUGAGGUCCGCCCUGGUUAGUACUUGGAUGGGAGACCACCAACGAAUGCCAGGUGCUGCAGGCU